AGGAAACUUGGAAACCGAAAACUCGGCGGCCGAGGCUCCGUGCCCCGCGCGCAGCGCUGCUCCUGCCCCGGCCAAGGACGCACGGGCCAGCCGGCGGAACCAGAGGUUUUCAGUGAUGUUGAGAGUCAACAGGAAAUUAAUCAGCAAGUAGAAAAUUGAAAGAAGAUCUGCAUCUUACUGCAGGAGUCAUUAAAAUAAAAGCAGAUUUGGCAAAAUGGCAAGGCCUCUGGGCCUGUAAUGAGAGGGGCUGCUGUGAAGGUCUUUGACGCCCUGGAGACAUUUUCCCCAUUGUCUUGGUGACAGCUUCUACCUUAUGAUCUGCGUUCCAGUCAGCGGGAAGGAGAUGGGGUGGGAAUGUGAUAAACCACUUCCCUUGAAGGACAUUUUCCAGAAGGUGUUCUGAUAUGAGAAGAACUUCUUCAGAAGGUAUCUUAAUGCAUAUGGGGAAACUGAGGCCCAGUUGUCAUAGCCUUCUCCAGCAUGUGUUCCUUCUGUAUUUCAGACAUGGCAGAGGAGACACAGCAAUAACUAAGGGGCAACUAUUGCAUCCAGAAAAAAAAAAAAUGAAGAUAAUGACUUCUCUGCAACUAAGAUGAAGAUCCACUGAACUUUGGGGUUUGAAAUGCAACGUUAGAACUUCAGACUCCCGGCACCUAGGUCUCCAGCUGCUGGGUGGUGCCAGCAUCAGAGAUACACUCUGCAAAACAUAUACUGUCUUAGGAAAAAGUGACCCUGUUGUCCUUUCAGGCCCAUAUUCCACAAGAAGACAAAUGGAGAUGUAAAAGGAAAACUGCAGCUCCGACUGAAGAGAGAGCAAGUUGUCUGUUCUGAUACAGCCAGGAAAUAAGAUGUUCUGGUUAAUAUGUGCUAAAGAUGUGGUGCUGACUUUCCGACUCAGAAUAUGAUCACAUGUUUUUCUCAUUAAAACUAUAUUGAAUAUUA
Molecule: long non-coding RNA, 942 nt
Filed under: Homo sapiens (human)
Lineage: Eukaryota; Metazoa; Chordata; Mammalia; Primates; Hominidae
Description: OSMR divergent transcript
Source: RNAcentral